Molecule: long non-coding RNA, 597 nt
Filed under: Homo sapiens (human)
Lineage: Eukaryota; Metazoa; Chordata; Mammalia; Primates; Hominidae
Description: HSALNT0249761
Source: RNAcentral
ACAAUGUACUAUUGUUGGGAGAUUUCUAAGAGUUGGACCUAUAAAGGUGUCUUCUCCUUUAGCAUGUGGCACUACUAAAGACAAUGGUGAGAUUAUUGUCUGGCUUUCCUAAAUAAUGAGGACUAGAUUGGCAUGAUUUAGAACUGAGGUUUAUUUACAUCUGGAUGAGCCAGAAAUCUGAUAUACAGAAUGAAGUGCUUUGAUUAAUUUGUAUUGGGAAUAAUAUCAAGAAAUGAUGUAGAAAAAUAAUUUAUUGUUAGAAUUCAAAACAUAAACAUGCAUUUUCCUUUGGACAAAACUGAGCUAACUGAAUGGAUAAAAUCAUUUAAGAUAUCUUUACUUAAGGUAUUAUUUCAUAAUAUCAUGUAUGUUUUAAAGAAACACUGUUAGUUGGGAAGUUUAUUUUUCAUUCCUUUUAUGUUAAACUUAGGUCCCUCUAACUGUCAGAUAGCUUCACGUGGAUAUUGGUACAAUGAGUUUAUACUCAUAUGGAUUUGACUACACCCACUAUAUGUGUUAACAUAUGUGUCCUUUUAAAGGAUUGACUAUUUUAAAUAACAUAAAUUCUGAACAAUUUUAGAGAUACUAAGAUCAUCA